Molecule: long non-coding RNA, 2529 nt
Organism: Sebastes umbrosus (honeycomb rockfish)
Lineage: Eukaryota; Metazoa; Chordata; Actinopteri; Perciformes; Sebastidae
Exons: 3
Source: RefSeq, a predicted model, not a curated record
CUUUCAUCAGUGUGUUUCUGCAGAUAACGACGAGUAGGAUAAAACCUAGAAACACUGGAGGCUAAUGCUAGCAGUGGGCUAAUGCUAGCAGUGGGCUAACGCUAGCAGUGGGCUAACACUAGCAGUGGGCUAAAGUUACACAUCUGAAAUGUCAUGUUGCUGUGUUGUUGGGUGCCAGAAUCCAGAUAUCACAACAUUUGAGAUGAAAAACUGUGAUUUGCCGUUGGCUGUUAGCAUAAGGCUAAACUAUUAGCAACCCUUUCUCUCCGUCUCUGAAACGUUUCAUUGAUAUUGUCCGACUCUCUUUUUGACUAACUUUACUGAAGGAUAGUUAACUAUAGGCAUCUAAAGAUUUAUACACCCUCAAUUUGUCUUUACAGCGCCGCCGUUGGCCACCAGCCCGCUGGUCGGACGGCUGGCUACUUAGCUAGCUACCAUGCUAAUUCCACCAUGCUACAGGAAAUGAGCCCAACAGCGGAAAGUGCCGGGUCACGGUCCCUCCGCCUCAAUUCUCGCUGCCAGGAGACUACUUCACCGGGAGGAGGGCAGGCGUUAGCUAGCUAGCUUGUCAGUCUCUGGACAAGCUAGCUAGCUAACUAGGUCAGGUGAGCGCACUCCUUCUUCAGCUCGGUGUUUCGUCUCAACAGCCGCCGCUUCUCCUCCUGCCUCACUACACAACAACACAACAACACACACCUCAUCAGUACAGACAGGUAAGAGAGGCGUGACAUCACCAGUCAUGUGACCUACCUUCCAGCAGAAAUCCUCCGAGUCUUGCAUGUAAAUGAAGCAGAGCAGAUGUUAGUGGCAGCAGAGACACGCAGGUGAGAGGAGAAGCCAUGCAGCGGGACGGGGUUAGCUUAGCUUAGCAUAAAGACUGGAAGCGGAGGGAAACUGCUAGCCUGGCUCUGUCCAAAGCCGGUCAAACAUACACUGACCAACAUCUUUUCCGAAACAUUAGUUUGAAGUGAAUAGUUGUAUUUAUAUGUUUAUGAUGAUAUACACGUAGAAAAACUUUUAUUAGAAAUAUGAAGUUGUUAAAUAAGAGAGCUAUGUUAUUGAUGAUUUUAUAAUCAAAUAUGUAUUUAUGUUUUUUUGUUUUUUCUAUUAUUCUUAUUAAUCCUUUGUUGUUUGUUGAUCAAGAGAUUUCUAGUCUCCUUGUUAAAUAAAACAAGUUUUCAGUAACUUCUUAAGUUCUUCUUCUACAGAACAGUAAUCAAACUAAUCUGAGUAAUCUGUGAGCUCAGCUUCAUAUCAUUUAGGACGGCGUAUCAGAGCCACUGUAGGUAGAAUUAAAUAAAUUACGCCGCCGAGGGAGGAUGGUAAUAUUCAGAGAAAAAAAAUCUGAAUUUACCAGAUUAAAGUCACACAUUUACAAGAAAAAAACUCAGAAAAAUAUUGUUGUUUUUUUUUCAAGGUUGUUCAAAGUCAUCACACCAAAGACACCGCCGCUUGUUGUGUAUCAUACCUGCACUGAAUGACCUCGUCAUAUUAUACUUUGUAAUCGGAUUUAUUAAUAAGGAAAUACUGGUGAUUUGAUUCUAAACAUUUUUCUAUUUAACAACCUAAACAAAGAUAUUAAAAUGUAUUCAGUCUUAUAAAACUACUGAAAUCACGCUGAAAGGUUUAAAUGUGUUAAACAUCAUCACGCUGCUCUGAGAGCCACGUUUCAGUUUGUGCUUCGUUAGUUUAGUGUGAUCAUCAUGUUUAGGUGUUUAUGUUUGGUGUGAUCAUCAUGUUUAGGUGUUUAUGUUUGGUUAGUUCAGUGUGAUCAUCAUGUUUAGGUGUUUAUGUUUGGUGUGAUCAUCAUGUUUAGGUGUUUAUGUUUGGUUAGUUCAGUGUGAUCAUCAUGUUUAGGUGUUUAUGUUUGGUGUGAUCAAUCAUCAUGUUUAGGUGUUUAUGUUUGGUGUGAUCAUCAUGUUUAGGUGUUUAUGUUUGGUGUGAUCAUCAUGUUUAGGUGUUUAUGUUUGGUGUGAUCAUCAUGUUUAGGUGUUUAUGUUUGGUUAGUUCAGUGUGAUCAUCAUGUUUAGGUGUUUAUGUUUGGUGUGAUCAAUCAUCAUGUUUAGGUGUUUAUGUUUGGUGUGAUCAUCAUGUUUAGGUGUUUAUGUUUGGUGUGAUCAUCAUGUUUAGGUGUUUAUGUUUGGUGUGAUCAUCAUGUUUAGGUGUUUAUGUUUGGUGUGAUCAUCAUGUUUAGGUGUUUAUGUUUGGUGUGAUCAUCAUGUUUAGGUGUUUAUGUUUGGUGUGAUCAUCAUGUUUAGGUGUUUAUGUUUGGUGUGAUCAUCAUGUUCAGUAGUUAGUGUUUUUACCUCGUGCCGACAAGAAGAGCGAGCUGUUCAGGUAAUGAGACGGCAGUCGUUUACGCUGCAGACACACGACAGGGACACAAGUUUCAGUCAGGGUUAUUAUAGGAAAGUAAAAUAAAAAUAAGCACAGCAAAUAAUGUUCGUAAAUUGAAAUAAAAUAAAAAAAAGAUUUCCUUUGAAAAAAACUAAACUGAAACAAUAUUUCCAGAUUAAAAUAUAUAUAUAU